AUGGUUCGCAACUUCUGGUGGGGCGCCUAUGAGGGCAAGAGGAAGACGCACUUGCUUGCUUGGCCAAAGAUCCAGGCGCAGAAAAGCAAGGGUGGUCUGGGGUUCAGAGAUUUCCGCCUUUUUAACCAGGCUCUCCUAGCGAGGCAGGCCUGGCGUUUGCUUACUAAACCCACCAGUUUGUGUGCGCAGGUGCUAAAGGCCCGAUACUACCAUGAUGGACGCCUUGAGGACACGGUCUUCUCAGGGAACUCCUCCCCAACCUGGCAGGCUAUCCAACAUGGCCUCGAGCUCCUGAAAAAGGGCAUCAUAUGGCGUGUUGGGAACGGUCAGGACAUUCGCAUAUGGCGGGACCGAUGGUUGCCACGGGAGCCCUCUCUUCAGCCCAUCACUCAGCAGGGCACUUGCCGCCCGCGGAGGGUGGCCGAGCUCCUCGACGGCGAGGGCUCUUGGCGCACCGGCCUACUACAGCGCUACUUCCUGCCGGCGGAUGUCGCCGUCAUCACUAGCAUCCGGACCUCGCCACGCGUCACCAACGAUAUCAUCGCCUGGGCGCCGGAGAAGAACGGUAUCUUCACCAAGGUACGCGUGUUUGCGUGGAGGGUUGUCACAAAUUCACUUGCUACUUGGGCCAACAAGGCUUCACGGCACCUCGAGGAUACUGACGUCUGCCCCCUAUGUGGCAUUGAACGCAAGGACGGAUUCCACGCGCUUUGCAGGUGCCCACUGGCAAGGGAGCUAUGGAGACUCAUGGCGAUGGACUGGAACAUACCCAAGGUGGAGACCAUCCGGGACACGGGGCCAGAGUGGCUAUUCGCCUUGUUGGAACCCCUGGAUGAGACGGCGAGGCUGGUGGUCCUCAUGAUCAUGUGGAGAGUAUGGCAUGUCCGCAAUGAGAUUACCCAUGACAAACCGCCACCUCCUGCCGAGGCCUCUCGUCGAUUCUUACAUGGCUAUAUUACUUCACUAUUAUGCAUCCAGCAACAUUCGCAUGCCAAUAUGGAGAAGGGGAAGAUGGUGGUUUGUGAUGGCCGGCCGGGCAUGCAGCCCUGCAGGAUAGCGACGGCGCGGCCGAGUUGGGCCCCCCCUAGUGCGGGCUGGGCCAAACUUAACACAGAUGGCAGCUUUGUUGCAGCCACAGGAGCAGCAGGAGGAGGCAUGAUCCUUCAAGAUGAUGGAGGGGAUAUCAUCUAUAGCGCGUGCAGAGAAAUUCGCACGCGUGAGAGUGCGCUGGAGGCGGAGCUCUCGGCGUGUAGAGAAGGCCUAGACCUUGCCUUACACAGGACGACGAUGCCUAUCAUUGUUGAGAUGGAUAGUGCGGAGGCUGUGGCGAUGCUCAAAGCACCCACAACAGAUAGAUCGCAGCUCUCGUUGAAGAGAUUAGCAGUCUAG
Molecule: ribosomal RNA, 1389 nt
Filed under: Triticum aestivum (bread wheat)
Lineage: Eukaryota; Viridiplantae; Streptophyta; Magnoliopsida; Poales; Poaceae
Description: partial small subunit ribosomal RNA
Source: RNAcentral